UACGUAGGGAGCAAGCGUUGUCCGGAUUUAUUGGGCGUAAAGAGCUCGUAGGCGGCUUAGAAAGUCAGGUGUGAAAACUCUGGGCUUAACCCAGAGACGCCACUUGAUACUUCUAUGGCUUGAGUUCGGUAGGGGACCAUGGAAUUCCUGGUGUAGCGGUGAAAUGCGCAGAUAUCAGGAGGAACACCGAUGGCGAAGGCAGUGGUCUGGGCCGAUACUGACGCUGAGGAGCGAAAGCGUGGGGAGCAAACAGG
Molecule: ribosomal RNA, 254 nt
Filed under: uncultured bacterium
Lineage: Bacteria
Description: partial 16S ribosomal RNA
Rfam family: Bacterial small subunit ribosomal RNA
Source: RNAcentral